AGGAGCUGGAUGAGAAGAAACUCUCAUGUCCGGUUCUGCAGUAGAGAUGGAAUUGCGAAACAACCAUCAACUAUAAC
Non-coding RNA from Populus trichocarpa (black cottonwood), 77 nucleotides. Lineage: Eukaryota; Viridiplantae; Streptophyta; Magnoliopsida; Malpighiales; Salicaceae. The record is from Rfam.